GACGAACGCUGGCGGCGUGCUUAACACAUGCAAGUCGAACGGAAAGGCCCUGCUUUUGUGGGGUGCUCGAGUGGCGAACGGGUGAGUAACACGUGAGUAACCUGCCCUUGACUUUGGGAUAACUUCAGGAAACUGGGGCUAAUACCGGAUAGGAGCUCCUGCUGCAUGGUGGGGGUUGGAAAGUUUCGGCGGUUGGGGAUGGGCUCGCGGCUUAUCAGCUUGUUGGUGGGGUAGUGGCUUACCAAGGCUUUGACGGGUAGCCGGCCUGAGAGGGUGACCGGCCACAUUGGGACUGAGAUACGGCCCAGACUCCUACGGGAGGCAGCAGUGGGGAAUAUUGCACCAUGGGCGGAAGCCUGAUGCAGCAACGCCGCGUGCGGGAUGACGGCCUUCGGGUUGUAAACCGCUUUCGCCUGUGACGAAGCGUGAGUGACGGUAAUGGGUAAAGAAGCACCGGCUAACUACGUG
This 468-nucleotide ribosomal RNA is filed under the name uncultured bacterium. RNAcentral describes it as "partial 16S ribosomal RNA". It matches the Rfam family "Bacterial small subunit ribosomal RNA", at positions 28 to 507 of the family's 1533-position model. The record is from RNAcentral.